UAGGGAAUCUUCCGCAAUGGGCGAAAGCCUGACGGAGCAACGCCGCGUGAGUGAUGAAGGUCUUCGGAUCGUAAAACUCUGUUAUUAGGGAAGAACAAAUGUGUAAGUAACUAUGCACGUCUUGACGGUACCUAAUCAGAAAGCCACGGCUAACUACGUGCCCGCAGCCGCGGUAAUACGUAGGUGGCAAGCGUUAUCCGGAAUUAUUGGGCGUAAAGCGCGCGUAGGCGGUUUUUUAAGUCUGAUGUGAAAGCCCACGGCUCAACCGUGGAGGGUCAUUGGAAACUGGAAAACUGGAGUGCAGAAGAGGAGAGUGGAAUUCCGGGUGUAGCGGUGAAAUGCGCAGAGAUGUGGAGGAACACCAGUGGCGAAGGCGACUUUCUGGUCUGUAACUGACGCUGAUGUGCGAAAGCGUGGGGAUCAAACAGG
This 429-nucleotide ribosomal RNA is filed under the name Actinomycetes bacterium. RNAcentral's name for it is "Actinobacteria bacterium partial 16S ribosomal RNA". It matches the Rfam family "Bacterial small subunit ribosomal RNA", at positions 355 to 776 of the family's 1533-position model. The record is from RNAcentral. Lineage: Bacteria; Bacillati; Actinomycetota; Actinomycetes.